UGGGGGAUAACGUAGCGAAAGUUACGCUAAUACCGCAUAUUCUGUGAGCAGGAAAGCAGGGGAUCGCAAGACCUUGCGCUGAUUGAGCGGCCGAUAUCAGAUUAGCUAGUUGGUGAGGUAAAGGCUCACCAAGGCGACGAUCUGUAGCGGGUCUGAGAGGAUGAUCCGCCACACUGGAACUGAGACACGGUCCAGACUCCUACGGGAGGCAGCAGUGGGGAAUUUUGGACAAUGGGCGCAAGCCUGAUCCAGCCAUGCCGCGUGAGUGAAGAAGGCCUUCGGGUUGUAAAGCUCUUUCGGCCGGGAAGAAAUCGCACAGGUUAAUACCCUGUGUGGAUGACGGUACCGGAAUAAGAAGCACCGGCUAACUACGUG
Molecule: ribosomal RNA, 375 nt
Filed under: uncultured bacterium
Lineage: Bacteria
Description: bacterial SSU rRNA
Rfam family: Bacterial small subunit ribosomal RNA
Source: RNAcentral